GGAGGCGUGGACUCCAGUCUAAAGUUGCGAUCUCGUAAGAGGGAGCUAAUCUGAAAAAGCCGAUCUCAGUUCGGAUUGAGGGCUGCAACUCGCCCUCAUGAAGCCGGAAUCGCUAGUAAUCGCGAAUCAGCAAUGUCGCGGUGAAUACGUUCUCGGGUCUUGUACACACCGCCCGUCACACCAUGAGAGUUGAUAAUACCAGAAGUCGGUAUUCUAACCGCAAGGAGGAAGCCGCCCAAGGUAGGAUUGAUGAUUAGGGUGAAGUCGUAACAAGGUAUCCGUACGAGAACGUGCGGAUGGAUCACCUCCUUUCUAUGGAGUUAAUACUUUAUAGUAAUUAACUAGUUUUAAUGACCGUUAUGUUUAGUUUUCAGAGAUUAGUUUCUCUGACAAUAACAAGUAAAUGUUAUUGGAAUUGUUCUUUGAAAACUGGAUAAUAGACAUCUAGUUAUUUUAAUCACAUGAUUAAAAUAACAAUAAUUCAAAAUUUCUGUUAUUUUUAAAAAAUAACUAAAAUUUCACAGUUAUAUUUGUAAAUGAUUCUCAAAAAACUGAUUUAAAAUCAGGUCAAAUAAUUUAUAAAACUUUGAAGUUACAAAGGGCGUAUGGUGAAUGCCUUGGGAAUAGGAGACGAUGAAGGACGUGACUACCUGCGAUAAGGUUCGGGGAGCUGGAAGUAAGCUUUGAUCCGGACAUGUCCGAAUGGGGAAACCCGGUGAGAUUAAUCUCUCAUCAUCCUAUAAUGAAUAAAUAGUUAUAGUGAAGGUAUACCUAGGGAAUUGAAACAUCUUAGUACCUAGAGGAAAAGAAAGCGAAUGCGAUUCUCUUAGUAGCGGCGAGCGAACGGGGAACAGCCCAAACCAGAUUUAUCUGGGGUUGUAGGACCAUAAUAGUAGAGUUACAAAACUUGUUUAUAGUAGAAAUGGUUGGGAAACCAUGCCGUAGAGGGUGAUAGCCCCGUAUACGAAAUAGACAAGACUCGAAAUGGAAUCCUGAGUACGGCGAGACACGUGAAAUCUUGUCGGAAUCAACGCGGACCACCGCGUAAGGCUAAAUACUACCUAUUCACCGAUAGUGAACCAGUACCGUGAGGGAAAGGUGAAAAGCACCCCGGGAGGGGAGUGAAAUAGUACCUGAAACCAUAUGCCUACAAGAAGUCGGAGCCCGUUAAUGGGUGACGGCGUGCCUUUUGUAGAAUGAGCCGGCGAGUUAUGAUAGCAUGCAAGGUUAAGUAGAAAAUACGGAGCCGUAGUGAAAGCGAGCCUUAAUAGGGCGUUUAGUAUGUUGUCAUAGACCCGAAACCAGGUGAUCUAGCCAUGAGCAGGUUGAAGUUGAGGUAAAACUUAAGGGAGGACCGAACACGACGUCCGCGAAAAGACCUCGCCUAUGGCGAGAAG
RNAcentral lists this small RNA (1397 nucleotides) under Spiroplasma sp. STF0902. RNAcentral describes it as "bacterial LSU rRNA". The stretch from base 586 to 1397 matches the Rfam family "Bacterial large subunit ribosomal RNA", at positions 1 to 821 of the family's 2925-position model. The record is from RNAcentral. Lineage: Bacteria; Bacillati; Mycoplasmatota; Mollicutes; Entomoplasmatales; Spiroplasmataceae.